RNAcentral lists this ribosomal RNA (402 nucleotides) under uncultured bacterium. Its description in RNAcentral is "bacterial SSU rRNA". It matches the Rfam family "Bacterial small subunit ribosomal RNA", at positions 355 to 749 of the family's 1533-position model. The record is from RNAcentral.
UGGGGAAUAUUGGACAAUGGGCGAAAGCCUGAUCCAGCCAUGCCGCGUGUGUGAAGAAGGUCUUCGGAUUGUAAAGCACUUUAAGUUGGGAGGAAGGGUUGUAGAUUAAUACUCUGCAAUUUUGACGUUACCGACAGAAUAAGCACCGGCUAACUCUGUGCCAGCAGCCGCGGUAAUACAGAGGGUGCAAGCGUUAAUCGGAAUUACUGGGCGUAAAGCGCGCGUAGGUGGUUAGUUAAGUUGGAUGUGAAAUCCCCGGGCUCAACCUGGGAACUGCAUUCAAAACUGACUGACUAGAGUAUGGUAGAGGGUGGUGGAAUUUCCUGUGUAGCGGUGAAAUGCGUAGAUAUAGGAAGGAACACCAGUGGCGAAGGCGACCACCUGGACUGAUACUGACACUGA